UAGUAUAGACUCAUAAGAGAAAGACAUCACAAAACCAUUUAAAGAAAAUAAUGUAGACUUAUUUUUGUACAUUUAGAUUGCAAAAUUACAUAGGGUACUAAGCUGUAAAGAUGAGAAACAAUAAGAGAAUCGAAACAAAUCAUGCAACAAACAAUAUACAUAACACGAUUGAAAGAGUACCUUUAAGUCACUAUCACAUGGCCAACCUUUUUUUUGUUUU
This 220-nucleotide long non-coding RNA is filed under the name Carica papaya (papaya). Its description in RNAcentral is "long non-coding RNA (CPAP_LNC013187)". The record is from RNAcentral. Lineage: Eukaryota; Viridiplantae; Streptophyta; Magnoliopsida; Brassicales; Caricaceae.